GGUGAGAUGGCCGAGUGGUCUAAGGCGCUAGAUUUAGGAUCUGUACUAAACUCUAGUCUUCGGGCGUGGGUUCGAAUCCCACUCUCAUCA
Molecule: transfer RNA, 90 nt
Filed under: Dendrothele bispora CBS 962.96
Lineage: Eukaryota; Fungi; Basidiomycota; Agaricomycetes; Agaricales
Description: Dendrothele bispora (strain CBS 962.96) tRNA
Rfam family: tRNA
About the family: Transfer RNA (tRNA) molecules are approximately 80 nucleotides in length.
Source: Rfam by way of RNAcentral